AUUGAACGCUGGCGGCAGGCCUAACACAUGCAAGUCGAGCGGAUGAAGGGAGCUUGCUCCUGGAUUCAGCGGCGGACGGGUGAGUAAUGCCUAGGAAUCUGCCUGGUAGUGGGGGAUAACGUCCGGAAACGGGCGCUAAUACCGCAUACGUCCUGAGGGAGAAAGUGGGGGAUCUUCGGACCUCACGCUAUCAGAUGAGCCUAGGUCGGAUUAGCUAGUUGGUGGGGUAAAGGCCUACCAAGGCGACGAUCCGUAACUGGUCUGAGAGGAUGAUCAGUCACAUUGGAAGUGAGAAACGUCCCAGACUCCGCGGGGAGGCACCGUGGGGAAAUCUGGGCAAUGGGACGAAAUCCUAUCCCGGCCAUCCCGGGUGUGUAAAGAGGGUCUUGGAUUUGUAAAGCAUUUGAGGUUGGGGAGAGGGGAGAAAAGUGAAUCCGUGCUUUUUUGCAGUUGCCAAAAAGAAUAGGGCCGGGCUAGCUCCGGC
RNAcentral lists this ribosomal RNA (484 nucleotides) under uncultured bacterium. Its description in RNAcentral is "partial 16S ribosomal RNA". It matches the Rfam family "Bacterial small subunit ribosomal RNA", at positions 30 to 508 of the family's 1533-position model. The record is from RNAcentral.